Molecule: ribosomal RNA, 256 nt
Filed under: uncultured bacterium
Lineage: Bacteria
Description: partial 16S ribosomal RNA
Rfam family: Bacterial small subunit ribosomal RNA
Source: RNAcentral
UAACACGUAGGGGGCGAGCGUUGUUCGGAAUUACUGGGCGUAAAGGGCAUGUAGGCGGUUCUGUAAGCCUGACGUGAAAGGCUAUGGCUCAACCAUGGCAUUGCGUUGGGAACUGCGGGACUUGAGUCACGGAGAGGGAGCUGGAAUUCCAGGUGUAGGGGUGAAAUCUGUAGAUAUCUGGAAGAACACCAGUGGCGAAGGCGAGCUCCUGGCCGAUGACUGACGCUGAGGUGCGAAAGUGUGGGGAUCAAACAGG